UCCCUGAUGGUCAAGUGGUCAGGAUUUGGCACUUUCACUGCCAUGGCCUUGGUUUGAUUCUGGGCCAGGAAG
This 72-nucleotide transfer RNA is filed under the name Anolis carolinensis (green anole). It matches the Rfam family "tRNA". From Rfam's summary of the family: Transfer RNA (tRNA) molecules are approximately 80 nucleotides in length. Their secondary structure includes four short double-helical elements and three loops (D, anti-codon, and T loops). Further hydrogen bonds mediate the characteristic L-shaped molecular structure. tRNAs have two regions of fundamental functional importance: the anti-codon, which is responsible for specific mRNA codon recognition, and the 3' end, to which the tRNAs corresponding amino acid is attached (by aminoacyl-tRNA synthetases). tRNAs cope with the degeneracy of the genetic code in two manners: having more than one tRNA (with a specific anti-codon) for a particular amino acid; and 'wobble' base-pairing, i.e. permitting non-standard base-pairing at the 3rd anti-codon position. The record is from Rfam by way of RNAcentral. Lineage: Eukaryota; Metazoa; Chordata; Lepidosauria; Squamata; Anolidae.